RNAcentral lists this ribosomal RNA (460 nucleotides) under uncultured bacterium. RNAcentral describes it as "partial 16S ribosomal RNA". It matches the Rfam family "Bacterial small subunit ribosomal RNA", at positions 338 to 795 of the family's 1533-position model. The record is from RNAcentral.
CCUACGGGGGGCAGCAGUGAGGAAUAUUGGUCAAUGGGCGCGAGCCUGAACCAGCCAAGUAGCGUGAAGGAUGACUGCCCUACGGGUUGUAAACUUCUUUUAUAAAGGAAUAAAGUGAGGCACGUGUACCUUUUUGUAUGUACUUUAUGAAUAAGGAUCGGCUAACUCCGUGCCAGCAGCCGCGGUAAUACGGAGGAUCCGAGCGUUAUCCGGAUUUAUUGGGUUUAAAGGGAGCGUAGAUGGGUUGUUAAGUCAGUUGUGAAAGUUUGCGGCUCAACCGGAGAAUUGCAAUGGAGACUGGCAGGCUUGAGUACAGUUGAGGUAGGCGGAAUUCGUGGUGUAGCGGUGAAAUGCUUAGAUAUCACGAAGAACUCCGAUUGCGAAGGCAGCUUACUAAACUGCCACUGACGUUGAUGCUCGAAAGUGUGGGUAUCAAACAGGAUUAGAUACCCGAGUAGUC